CGUCUAAUGAUGUCUAUAUAGCGAUUACUACAACCUGAUCUUAUUUGAAAAAGAGAUCUCUCUUCCGUGUGAACUUCAAAUUAAAUAGCUGAAGAUG
This 97-nucleotide small nucleolar RNA is filed under the name Caenorhabditis briggsae. Its description in RNAcentral is "snoRNA CBG29675". It matches the Rfam family "Caenorhabditis snoRNA ceN113". The record is from Rfam by way of RNAcentral. Lineage: Eukaryota; Metazoa; Nematoda; Chromadorea; Rhabditida; Rhabditidae.